UAUUUAAGAACGUUGCCUGCACAUAUUAAGGUUGAGUUUCAGUUAAAUAAUGACAAGCUGUUUUUAUUAUUGGUGCAUGGAAGUCCACGCAAGAUCAAUGAAUACCUGUUUGAGGACAGGGAAGAAAAAAGCCUUAUACGCAUUAUGCAGGAUGCGGGUGCUGACGUUAUGUGUUUUGGACAUACGCACAAACCCUAUCACCGGGUAUUGAGUGUUUCAGAAGAUCAAAAAGAAAAAUACCUGCAUGCCAUCAAUAUAGGGUCGGUUGGCAAACCCAAAGAUGGAAAUCCUACAGGCGGAUAUGUACUGCU
This 311-nucleotide unclassified non-coding RNA is filed under the name uncultured fungus. Its description in RNAcentral is "sequence contains ITS1". The record is from RNAcentral. Lineage: Eukaryota; Fungi.